RNAcentral lists this ribosomal RNA (889 nucleotides) under uncultured archaeon. RNAcentral describes it as "bacterial SSU rRNA". It matches the Rfam family "Archaeal small subunit ribosomal RNA", at positions 26 to 893 of the family's 1478-position model. The record is from RNAcentral.
ACUGCUAUCGAGGUGGGACUAAGCCAUGCUAGUCGAACGACCCGGACUAUGGCGGGGAGUGGCAGACUGCUCAGUAACACGUAGCUAACUUACCCUCUGGAUGGGGAUACCCCCGGGAAACUGGGGACAAUACCCAAUAGGUGUGGAUUCCUGGAAUGGUUCCACGCUCAAAUAUUGCAUACCCACGUCGUAUGUUCAUGCCAGAGGAUAGGGCUGCGGCCGAUCAGGCAGUUGGUGGGGUAAUGGCCCACCAAACCUUUGACCGGUACGGGCCGUGAGAGCGGUAGCCCGGAGAUGGGUACUGAGACAAGGACCCAGGCCCUACGGGGCGCAGCAGGCGCGAAACCUCCACAAUGCACGAAAGUGCGAUGGGGUUACCUCGAGUGCCGCCUGAAGAAGGCGGCUUUUCCAUGGUGUAAUGAGCCGUGGGAAUAAGGGGGGGGCAAGACUGGUGUCAGCCGCCGCGGUAACACCAGCUCCCCGAGUGGUGGGGAUGUUUAUUUGGCCUAAAACGUCCGUAGCCGGCUAAGUAAAUCUCUCGUUAAAUCCAGCGUCCUAAGCGUUGGGCUGCGAGGGAGACUGCUCAGCUAGAGGGUGGAAAAGGUCAGCGGUAUUUCUGGGGUAGGGGCGAAAUCCAUUGAUCCCAGGAGGACCACCAGUGGCGAAGGCUGCUGACUAGGACACGCCUGACGGUGAGGGACGAAAGCUGGGGUAGCGAAUCGGAUUAGAUACCCGAGUAGUCCCAGCCGUAAACGAUGCAAGCUAGGUGUUGGGCUGGCCACGUGCCAGCUCAGUGCCACAGGGAAGCCAUUAAGCUUGCUGCCUGGGGAGUACGGCCGCAAGGCUGAAACUUAAAGGAAUUGGCGGGGGAGCACCACCAGGCGUGAAG